RNAcentral lists this transfer-messenger RNA (367 nucleotides) under Paenibacillus senegalensis. It matches the Rfam family "transfer-messenger RNA". From Rfam's summary of the family: Bacterial tmRNA, also known as 10Sa RNA or SsrA, is named for its dual tRNA and mRNA-like properties. Its role is to liberate the mRNA from a stalled ribosome. Lineage: Bacteria; Bacillati; Bacillota; Bacilli; Caryophanales; Paenibacillaceae. RNAcentral also lists the same sequence under 1 other name. The record is from RNAcentral.
GGGGGCGUUUAUGGAUUCGACGGGGGUAGUUCGAGCAUGAGUAGCGGGUAGUGGGGACGCGUCCGCUUCAUCAACGCUAAAGCCAUAAUAACUGGCAAACAACAAAACAACUACGCUUUAGCUGCCUAAUAAUCAGCUAGCGUGCUCCAGCCCUGCAUCGCCCAUGUGCCGGGAUUUGGGGCUCAACCUUAGUGGGAUACGCCGCUUAAUCUCCGCCUGGGGUUAACGGAAGAAGACAAUCAGGCUGACCUGUCCAGCAGCCGGUUACGGGGCGUCUAGACAGGUGACAUCAAAACCGUGACUACACCCGUAGAAGCUUAUGUGGCGUUAUCUUCGGACAGGGGUUCAAAUCCCCUCGCCUCCACCA